AUAUAGCUGAAGAGUCCCAGAAAGGAUGAAACGCGCGUCAUAGAU
RNAcentral lists this non-coding RNA (45 nucleotides) under Schistosoma mattheei. Lineage: Eukaryota; Metazoa; Platyhelminthes; Trematoda; Strigeidida; Schistosomatidae. The record is from RNAcentral.